Molecule: long non-coding RNA, 2068 nt
Organism: Danaus plexippus (monarch butterfly)
Lineage: Eukaryota; Metazoa; Arthropoda; Insecta; Lepidoptera; Nymphalidae
Exons: 3
Source: RefSeq, a predicted model, not a curated record
GUCCAUGCUACAAUAAAAAAAAUUAUACUUAAUGUUGCUGUUGAAACAUUUGCCUAUAUAGUAAUUAAGUACAAGUAGUGUGGCCCCAAAUCGGUCUUGGUCUUGCAGUCUUGCAAAAAUGUUAGAACAAGACCAAAACCGAAUAUUUUUAGCGAGACCGACACUGCAAGACUCUUGUGUCCUGUAGUUAAGACUGCGGGUCGUUUCAGGGAGUAAGUAUAGGAGUUCGGGGUAGGGACUCGACUUCGCUUAGGGACUCUAUGAGGAGUAAAAUGAUAUGAUUUUAUUUUUGGAAAAUUGGACUUAUGCGAAUUACGAAUGCGAAUGAAAAUAUCCAUUAAAAGAAAAAAGAGUGCAUCCCUAGUUAAGACCAUAGGUUUUGUGUGUGUAAAAGUGAGGGGUGCCUUGUCGGCAUCAUCAAAGGUCAAGUACUGAACUCUCAUAGAAAUUUUGCAGCUAUUCGGAAGUACAACGUUAAGAUACGCGUGCGGCGGCUUCUAUUGCGCAUACAAAGAAUCGUCUCCGUCGCGCCGCACGCACAAUAUUUGAAACCGUUUGAUUGCCGCCACAGAGUACAAGUGUUCCAAAGUAAUCGAAUAAUGUAAAAAGCGUGCAAUAAUAUUUAUGUACUCUUUAGGAGCAGGAAUAUAAUAACAUAUGAGAGAACUGUUUAAAUAAAUAAAUUGAUAUAUUGACUGUUGCAUCCCAAUUUAUUUUUGAAAAUAUUCAUUUACAUUUAAAAUACAGUCAAGUUAAUGUCAUUAAUUUGUUUUCUACAUGUUUAAACCAUGUUUUAGUACAUUGAAAAUUAUUAAAUGUAAACGUUUAUUAAGAAACAGACGGAAUCCCGCGGGACACAGUUGAUAGUUCAGUUGGUUAGUUAGUUGGAUCAUCAGCACUGAUUGCUUAGGUCGUGGGUUCAAACCCCAAACGGAGUCAGUUGAUUUUUUGAAUUUCUCAUGAGAUGUUUAGACAAUUAUAAAUUUGGUUAGUCUUUAUCACGCCUAUAUUAAUUCAAGCCCAAAAUGAUCUUACUCUGUUGCGUUGUUCUAAUAUCUAAAGUAACGUUGAAUAAAAAGCGACAGGCUAAUAGGUAAUUGCAAGACUUACAAGACUUUUGCUGCAAGAACAAGACCAAGAUCAAGACUGGGAGUACAAUACCAAGACCAAGACCAGGUGUAUUAAGGCAAGACCAAGACCAAGACCAAGACCAGGUGUAUUAAGACAAGACCAAGACCAAGACCAAGACCAGGUGUAUUAAGGCAAGACCAAGACCAAGACUGGCCAAGUCCCGUCUUGUUCUUGCAUUUGGCCAACACUAACAUUCUGGAGCCAAGGCAACAACCAGUUUGGAGCGACACUUAUGUGACCUUCUAGCAUCAUGUCGAGCUGGUCUUGGGAGCACCCAUCACGAGGUCCAACUCUAUACGCGGAGGGUGGCAGCGCCGCUGGCAGCAACCAGGCGAUUCCAGAUCUCGGCUCCAGACCGGCUGCAAGCCCUGCACAAAGCGCAGCUCGCAUUGCCCGUGCAUCUUCGACACACAACCAUACGACGCGGCCGUCAGCUCUCACCACGCGCUCUGCCCACUAUCAUUGUUCGUAAUCAGCGCGGUCAUCCGGCAACUCCAAGUGGGCAACGAUGUCUGCUUGAAGACGAGCGGAAGCCAGAGACGCUCGUGUGGCCGGUUCGCUGAGGGCUGCCAGCCGCCUCCACCCUAGCUCGGCAAACAGCGAGCCAAGCGCGGACGCAUACAUGCGUGAAUCACCAGCCGCCAGCAGAGUAAGGGCAGCGGCAGGUGAGGGUGGAGGAGCCUGUGGUGUGUACGAAAUGGCGAGCAGGCCGUGAGACGUGGACUGGCGGGCGACAUCAGCGAAGGCUGCUCCACAAGCGGGUCCCGCCACCGCAGACAACUCCAAGUAAUCGGAAGAAACGCGUGCGUCACUUAUGUAUUGGAAGGAAUGCGUCGCAUCACAGUGAUCGUCGUGAGUUAUCACCUUUAAUGAAAAAAGAAAGCUUGCUAGUACUUAUUUUAUUCGACGUGAGAAUUAAAACGUUUUUGGACGUCAA